RNAcentral lists this ribosomal RNA (253 nucleotides) under uncultured bacterium. Its description in RNAcentral is "partial 16S ribosomal RNA". It matches the Rfam family "Bacterial small subunit ribosomal RNA", at positions 524 to 776 of the family's 1533-position model. The record is from RNAcentral.
UACGUAGGCAGCGAGCGUUGUUCGGAAUUACUGGGCGUAAAGAGUGUGUAGGCGGUGCUCCAAGUUCGGUGUGAAAUCUCCCGGCUUAACUGGGAGGGUGCGCCGGAAACUGGAGUGCUCGAGCGUGGGAGAGGAAAGCGGAAUUCCUGGUGUAGCGGUGAAAUGCGUAGAUAUCAGGAGGAGCACCGGUGGUGUAGACGGCUCUCUGGACCGUAACUGACGCUGAGGCACGAAAGCGUGGGUAGCAAACAGG